AGGGCUUCUUGCCCUCUUACGAUGAGAUGGGCGCGCGGCGCAUUAGCUAGUUGGAGAGGUACGGCUUCCCCCAAGGCGACGAUGCGUAGCCAACCUGAGAGGGUGAUCGGCCACCUGGGACUGAGACACGGCCCAGACUCCUACGG
This 146-nucleotide ribosomal RNA is filed under the name uncultured Bacillus sp. Its description in RNAcentral is "partial 16S ribosomal RNA". It matches the Rfam family "Bacterial small subunit ribosomal RNA", at positions 202 to 344 of the family's 1533-position model. Lineage: Bacteria; Bacillati; Bacillota; Bacilli; Caryophanales; Bacillaceae. The record is from RNAcentral.